GACGAACGCUGGCGGCGUGCUUAACACAUGCAAGUCGAGCGGUAAGGCCCUUUCGGGGGUACACGAGCGGCGAACGGGUGAGUAACACGUGGGUGACCUGCCCUCAGCUCUGGGAUAAGCCCGGGAAACUGGGUCUAAUACUGGAUAUGACUCCACGGUGCAUGCCGUGGGGUGGAAAGCCUUGUGCGGCUGAGGAUGGGCCCGCGGCCUAUCAGCUUGUUGGUGGGGUGAUGGCCUACCAAGGCGACGACGGGUAGCCGGCCUGAGAGGGCGACCGGCCACACUGGGACUGAGACACGGCCCAGACUCCUACGGGAGGCAGCAGUGGGGAAUCUUGCGCAAUGGGCGAAAGCCUGACGCAGCGACGCCGCGUGAGGGAUGACGGCCUUCCGGUUGUAACCUCUUCAGCUCCGACGAAGCGGAAGNGACGGGUAGGAGCAGAAGAAGCACCGGCCAACUACGUGCCAGCCGCCGCU
This 476-nucleotide ribosomal RNA is filed under the name uncultured bacterium. RNAcentral's name for it is "bacterial SSU rRNA". It matches the Rfam family "Bacterial small subunit ribosomal RNA", at positions 28 to 519 of the family's 1533-position model. The record is from RNAcentral.